GUGCACAUUUCAUUGACCUGCUCUCAUUGCAUUGAUAGCAGUGUUAUUUCUGAUGUGCUAAACAAACAGGUGAAGGUUAAUUAGCAGCAUAACUAUAUGCAGUUAGUGUUGCCAGUCCCCUUCAGACAAAA
RNAcentral lists this small nucleolar RNA (131 nucleotides) under Pelusios castaneus (West African mud turtle). The record is from RNAcentral. Lineage: Eukaryota; Metazoa; Chordata; Testudines; Pelomedusidae.